GACGAACCGUGCGAACGUUAUUCGGAAUCACUGGGCUUAAAGCGCGUGUAGGCGGGUCGGGACGUCGGUCGCUGAAAUCCCCCGGCUCAACCGGGGAAGGGGCGCCGAUACGGCCGGCCUCGAGGGACGUAGGGGGGGCUGGAACUUCCGGUGGAGCGGUGAAAUGCGUUGAGAUCGGAAGGAACGCCCGUGGCGAAAGCGAGCCCCUGGACGUCUACUGACGCUGAGGCGCGAAAGCUAGGGGAGCAAACAGG
Molecule: ribosomal RNA, 254 nt
Filed under: uncultured bacterium
Lineage: Bacteria
Description: partial 16S ribosomal RNA
Rfam family: Bacterial small subunit ribosomal RNA
Source: RNAcentral